CGUAAAGAACUUGCCUCACAGAUAGGGACAACAUUUGGAAACGAAUGCUAAUACCUGAUAUUAUGACCUUAGGGCAUCCUAGAAUUAUGAAAGCUAUAUGCGCUGUGAGAGAGCUUUGCGUCCCAUUAGCUAGUUGGAGAGGUAACAGCUCACCAAGGCGAUGAUGGGUAGCCGGCCUGAGAGGGUGAUCGGCCACAAGGGGACUGAGACACGGCCCUU
This 219-nucleotide ribosomal RNA is filed under the name uncultured bacterium. Its description in RNAcentral is "partial 16S ribosomal RNA". It matches the Rfam family "Bacterial small subunit ribosomal RNA", at positions 116 to 334 of the family's 1533-position model. The record is from RNAcentral.